Molecule: ribosomal RNA, 461 nt
Filed under: uncultured bacterium
Lineage: Bacteria
Description: partial 16S ribosomal RNA
Rfam family: Bacterial small subunit ribosomal RNA
Source: RNAcentral
GAUGAACGCUGACGGAAUGCUUAACACAUGCAAGUCGAUGGGUAAGUGGUGCUUGCACCAUGGCAACCAUGGCGGACGGGUGAGUAACGCGUAAGGGACUUACCUGCAGGACUGGGAUAACAGGGGGAAACUCCUGACAAGACCGGAUAAUGUCAUGUAGCUGCAUGGCUUUAUGAUGAAAGGAGACGCCUGCGGAGAGCCUUGCGUCCUAUUAGCUAGUUGGUGAGGUAAUGGCUCACCAAGGCGAAGAUAGGUAGCCGGCGUGAGAGGGUGGACGGCCAAAAGGGGAGUGAGGUACGGCCCUUAAUCCUACGGGAGGCAGCAGUGGGGAAUAUUGGACAAUGGGGGCAAACCUGAUCCAGCAAUUCUGUGUGAACGAAGAAGGUUUUCGGAUUGUAGAGUGCGUAGAAGAGAAGAAGUAAGUGACGGUACCUGCAGAAGAAGCGACGGCUAAAUACGUG